This is a long non-coding RNA of Canis lupus familiaris (dog), 448 nucleotides long. RefSeq lists it as uncharacterized. NCBI's taxonomy places the organism in Eukaryota, Metazoa, Chordata, Mammalia, Carnivora, Canidae. The record is from RefSeq and is a predicted model, not a curated record. The transcript has 4 exons.
AUGCAAAAAGAGCCUUCCCGGGUGCUUAAAAAGAAGGGACCUGGGGUCUCUGCUACUGAAGAGGACUCCAUCCUUUCUAAUGACCAUAAUGGCCAGCUGCAGAAGCAGAGCUACCCUUGGUGCUCAAAAUUUAUCUCCUAUGAUAAUAAAUCGAGGAAAAAAAAGCAGCUGGACAUGCUCCUGUUUGUUGCAACUCUGGAACAUUUCUUUGACACUGCUGUUUCAUGUGGUAUGCUGGCUCAGCUGCCCAUCUGUUUUCUGCCUAACACAGGACCAUUGAGAAAAAUAAAGGAGAGAGAAGGUGACUGGGACUCUUACAGACUAUUUAUUUUGCAUUAGACCUUAGAAACUUUCGGCCUCUGGUGGACUCCACAGACACCAUUUCUCCAAAAAGCUUUGAAGAAUGAUCUAUGAAGGACGCUACAAAACAUCUCAAGAUCAAUUGCUG